CCCUUAGAUGUUCUGGGCCGCGCGCGCGCUACACUGAUGCAUUCAACGAGCCUAGCCUUGACCGAGAGGUCCGGGUAAUCUUUGAAACUGCAUCGUGAUGGGGCUAGAUUAUUGCAAUUAUUAAUCUUCAACGAGGAAUGCCUAGUAAGCGUGAUUCAUCAAAUCGCGUUGAUUACGUCCCUGCCCUUUGUACACACCGCCCGUCGCUCCUACCGAUUGAGUGUGUUGGUGAGGAGUUUGGAUUGGCCUCGGAAGGUGGUUCGCCACCGUCCGUAGCUGAGAAGUUCUCCAAACCGCCCCACUUAGAGGAAGGAGAAGUCGUAACA
RNAcentral lists this ribosomal RNA (326 nucleotides) under uncultured eukaryote. RNAcentral's name for it is "partial 18S ribosomal RNA". It matches the Rfam family "Eukaryotic small subunit ribosomal RNA", at positions 1470 to 1796 of the family's 1831-position model. The record is from RNAcentral.